Molecule: ribosomal RNA, 285 nt
Filed under: uncultured Prevotella sp.
Lineage: Bacteria; Pseudomonadati; Bacteroidota; Bacteroidia; Bacteroidales; Prevotellaceae
Description: partial 16S ribosomal RNA
Rfam family: Bacterial small subunit ribosomal RNA
Source: RNAcentral
UGAGGAAUAUUGGUCAAUGGACGAGAGUCUGAACCAGCCAAGUAGCGUGCAGGAUGAUGGCCCUAUGGGUUGUAAACUGCUUUUAUAAGGGAAUAAAGUGAGCCUCGUGAGGCUUUUUGCAUGUACCUUAUGAAUAAGGACCGGCUAAUUCCGUGCCAGCAGCCGCGGUAAUACGGAAGGUUCGGGCGUUAUCCGGAUUUAUUGGGUUUAAAGGGAGCGUAGGCCGGAGAUUAAGCGUGUUGUGAAAUGUAGUGGCUCAACUCUGCACUGCAGCGCGAACUGGUU